AUGUACCACUCGUCCAUUGCGGUUCUGAACGCGCCAUCCACGCCUAUCUAACGACUGCUCGCUACGUUUUGUUUGGU
This 77-nucleotide small RNA is filed under the name Xanthomonas campestris. Its description in RNAcentral is "sRNA sX9". It matches the Rfam family "Xanthomonas sRNA sX9". Lineage: Bacteria; Pseudomonadati; Pseudomonadota; Gammaproteobacteria; Lysobacterales; Lysobacteraceae. RNAcentral also lists the same sequence under 5 other names. The record is from RNAcentral.